This 301-nucleotide ribosomal RNA is filed under the name uncultured bacterium. Its description in RNAcentral is "partial 16S ribosomal RNA". It matches the Rfam family "Bacterial small subunit ribosomal RNA", at positions 509 to 809 of the family's 1533-position model. The record is from RNAcentral.
CAGCAGCCGCGGGAAUACGAAGGGUGCAAGCGUUAAUCGGAAUUACUGGGCGUAAAGCGUGCGUAGGCGGUUUGUUAAGUCUGUUGUGAAAUCCCCGGGCUCAACCUGGGAAUGGCAAUGGAUACUGGCAAGCUAGAGUGUGUCAGAGGAUGGCGGAAUUCCCGGUGUAGCGGUGAAAUGCGUAGAGAUCGGGAGGGACAUCAGUGGCGAAGGCGGCCAUCUGGGACAACACUGACGCUGAGGCACGAAAGCGUGGGGAGCAAACAGGAUUAGAUACCCGCGUAGUCCCUGUCUCUUAUAA